UCAAGCUAAUAAGAGCGCAAGGGGAAUGCCUUGGCAUCAGGAGCCGAUGAAGGACGUGAUAAGCUGCGAUAAGCUUCGGGGAGCUGCAAAUGAGCAUUGAUCCGGAGAUUUCCGAAUGGGGAAACCCACCGAAAGGUAUCCUGCACUGAAUCAAAUAGGUGCAGGAGGGGAACCGCCUGAACUGAAACAUCUAAGUAGGGCGAGGAAAAGACAUCAACCGAGAUUCCGCGAGUAGUGGCGAGCGAAAGCGGAUUAGGCCAAACCGGAGGUAGCAAUAUCUCCGGGGUUACGGACAGCAACAUGAAGGAAGUUUUCUAAAAGAACGGCAUGGGAAGGCCGGCCAGAGAGUGUGAGAGCCACGUAUUUGAAAGAGAACUUUUGGAUAGCUGGAUCCAGAGUACCGCGGGACACGAGGAAUCCCGUGGGAAGUCGGGGGGACCACCCUCCAAGCCUAAAUACUACCUGAUGACCGAUAGAGGAGCAGUACCGUGAGGGAAAGGUGAAAAGAACCCCGGGAGGGGAGUGAAAGAGUACCUGAAACCUUGUGCUUACAAGCAGUCAAAGCCCGUUAAAGGGUGAUGGCGUACUUUUUGUAGAACGGUCCGGCGAGUUAUAGUAACUGGCGAGGUUAAGGUAUUGAGUACCGAAGCCGAAGGGAAACCGAGUGUGAAGAGCGCGAAUAAAGUCAGUUGCCAUAGACCCGAAACCAGGUGACCUAGCCAUGACCAGGCUGAAGUGGAGGUAAAGCUCCAUGGAGGGCCGAACCCACGUUCGUUGCAAUGACCGGGGAUGAGUUGUGGCUAGCGGUGAAAUUCCAAACGAACCUGGAGAUAGCUGGUUCUCCCCGAAAUAGUUUUAGGACUAGCGUUGGCAAUGAGUUUCGCGGUGGUAAAGCACUGAAUGGGCUAGGGGGCGAUAAGCUUACUGAACCCUAUCAAACUAAGAAUGCCGCAGAAAUGCUUACCAGCAGUCAGACUACGAGUAAUAAAAUCCGUGGUCAAAAGGGAAAUAGCCCAGACCCACAGCUAAGGUCCCGAAUACAUGCUAAGUGGAAAACGAUGUGAGAUUGCAGAAACAACCAGGAUGUUGGCUUAGAGGCAGCCACUCGUUCAAAGAGUGCGUAAUAGCUCACUGGUCGAGUGAUCUUGCGCGGAAAAUUUAACGGGGCUAAGCAUGUAACCGAAGCUUGGGAUUCACGAUUUUUCGUGAGUGGUAGGGGAGCGUCGAAUACGGGGUGAAGUCGCACCGGAAGGAGCGGUGGACUGUAUUCGAGUGAGAAUGCCGGAAUGAGUAGCGAGAAUUAUGUGGGAAUCAUAAUGGCCGAAAAUCUAAGGUUUCCUGGGGAAGGUUCGUCCGCCCAGGGUAAGCCGGGAGCUAAGGCGAGGCCGCAAGGCGUAGUCGAUGCACAUACGGUAGAAAUUCCGUAGCCGGUACAAUUGUUAAUCACGGUGACACAUGAGUAUAGCUCUACCGGGCGUUGGUAGCCCCGGGCGUAAGCGAGCCGAAUGAGGCGAAGUGAGUAAAGCUUGUGGCGAGAAAAGCCGUGUGAAUUGGUUGUACUGCCCGUACCGCAAACCGACACAGGUAGAUGAGGAGAAGAUCCUAAGGCCAACGGGAGAAGGGUUGUUAAGGAACUAGGCAAAUUGACCCCGUAACUUCGGAAUAAGGGGUGCCUACGAAAGUAGGUCGCAGAGAAUAGGCCCAAGCAACUGUUUACCAAAAACACAGGUCUCUGCUAAAUCGAAAGAUGACGUAUAGGGGCUGACGCCUGCCCGGUGCUGGAAGGUUAAGAGGAGAGCUUAGGGAAACCGAAGGUUCGAAUUGAAGCCCCAGUAAACGGCGGCCGUAACUAUAACGGUCCUAAGGUAGCGAAAUUCCUUGUCAGGUAAGUUCUG
Molecule: ribosomal RNA, 1895 nt
Filed under: human gut metagenome
Description: bacterial LSU rRNA
Rfam family: Bacterial large subunit ribosomal RNA
Source: RNAcentral